GCCGCAGCAUGCGUUGCUGUAAGGAAAGUGUACCUGGCGCUAAACCAACUGAUGAAUAAAUUCAUCAUGUUCCCUGGCCAUGUCCCAGUCGAUGAGAUCAAAGAGGGAUUUUAUGCAAUUGCAGGUAAUUCAGUAAUUCAGUAUUUUACCAUUUCAUGAAAAUGCAUUCCUAUCACUAUUCAUUACGGAGCUUAUCAUUAUGCAGAGUUUCCUAAUGUCAUUGGGGCAGUGGACUGCACCCAUAUCCGCUUGAAAAGGCCCUCUGGGCCAAACGAGGCCGAUUUUGUCAAUAGAAAGGGCUUUCACAGCCUUAAUGUGCAGAUGAUCUGUGACUCCACCUGCCUCAUAACCAAUGUUGAGGCCAAGUGGCCGGGCUCUGUCCACGACUCCCGGAUAUUCAGAGAGUCUACACUGUGCCACAGCUUCGAGCAAGGUAUAGCAAAUCUCAUGUCAUUCAGAAAUUGAUUAUUUUAUGUAGAGGUGAUCCAACAUUGUUCAUAUCAUAUACUAGGUAACUAUGAUGGGCUCCUAAUGGGAGACAGGGGUUACGCCUGCAGGCCCUGGUUCAUGACCCCCUAUCCCGAGCCAGCCCCAGGCCCUGAAGUGAGGUUCAACGGUGCUCUCGCUCGAACGAGGGCACGAAUAGAAAUGACCUUUGGCCUACUAAAGGCCAGAUUUAAUUGUCUGCGGGGGCUGAGGGUGGCACCGGACAGGGCCUGUGCGAUAACGGUGGCCUGUGCAGUGCUCCACAAUGUGGCCACACUCAGGAGGGAGAGGGUCCCAGUGAUCGUGGCCUAUCCUGAGGACGAUCUGGAACCUGUCCAGCCUGAUGAGCGGUCCGGACCGGCUGCAAGGGACAUAAUUGCCCAUCAUCAUUUCAGAUAGGUGUCCAGAUGACUUUGGCCAUCAUCGAGUCCAUCCCAAAUCAUCAAUCAAUGACCGUCUGGUUUGCUGCCUCCACUGCCAAGGACCAAGGCAGACUGCAGCAGAUCAUUUGGUCAGCCGAGAAGGCCAUCGGCUGCGACCUGCCGUGCCACCCUGACCCGUUUCACUCCAGGACCAGCAAGAGAGCAGGCAGGAUCAUUGCUGACCCUUCCCAUCCUGGCCACCACCUCUUCCCAUCCAGCAAAAGGGUCCGGUCCAUUAAAACCAAAACCUGGCGCCACCUGACCAGUUUCUUCCCCACGGCAGUGGGGCUCACAAACAAGCCCCCUGCACCACACUGACUCCGGGAC
Clupea harengus (Atlantic herring) is the source of this 1235-nucleotide long non-coding RNA. RefSeq lists it as uncharacterized. The record is from RefSeq and is a predicted model, not a curated record. NCBI's taxonomy places the organism in Eukaryota, Metazoa, Chordata, Actinopteri, Clupeiformes, Clupeidae. The transcript is spliced from 3 exons.